GGGGGGGGGGGGGGGGGGGCGUGACGGGUGGGGGGGGGAGGGUGACAGGAAGGAGCUUGCGUCGGUGCUGAGGAGGGGCGGACGGGUGAGUAAGGUCUGUGGAACUGUCUGAUGGAGGGGGAUAGCGAGUGGAAACGGUAGCUAAUACCGCAGAAUGUCGCGAGACCAAAGAGGGGGCCCUUCGUGCCUCUUGCCAGCGGAUGUGCCCCGAUGGGAUUAGCUAGUAGGUGUGGUAACGCCUCACCUAGGCGACGAUCCCUAGCUGGUCUGAGAGGAUGACCAGCCACACUGGAACUGAGACACGGUCCAGACUCCUACGGGAGGCAGCAGUGGGGAAUAUUGCACAAUGGGCGCAAGCCUGAUGCAGCUAUGCCGCGUGUAUGAAGAAGGCCUUCGGGUUGUAAAGUACUUUCAGCGGGGAGGAAGGGAGUAAAGUUAAUACCUUUGCUCAUUGACGUUACCCGCAGAAGAAGCACCGGCUAACUCCGUG
Molecule: ribosomal RNA, 490 nt
Filed under: uncultured bacterium
Lineage: Bacteria
Description: partial 16S ribosomal RNA
Rfam family: Bacterial small subunit ribosomal RNA
Source: RNAcentral